This 1448-nucleotide long non-coding RNA is filed under the name Callithrix jacchus (white-tufted-ear marmoset). Its description in RNAcentral is "lncRNA (ENSCJAG00000072116.1)". The record is from RNAcentral. Lineage: Eukaryota; Metazoa; Chordata; Mammalia; Primates; Cebidae.
UGCAUUCUACAUAUCAGAAGCAUUGAAUUCACCUAAGAGUUUGUCAGAAAUGCAGAAUCUCAGACCCAAAUUCAAACCUACUCAAUCAGAAUCUGCAUUUUGCUGAGAUCCCCUGCUGCUUGGUAGGCACAUUAAAGUUAGAGAAGCACUGCUCUACAGGGUCAGUUAUAAAUUAUACGUUCUUUUUAUGAUGUCUCCUCUCUCAAUAUGCUUUAUCACUUCAAACUUUUCUUCAUAUGUAUAAGCUUUUCUAUAUAUUUUAGGCUUACAUAUUUUCUUCUUUCUUACUUUUAGAAGGUAUUUUUGCCUGGGAAAUGGGGAAGAUGAUGACAAUAUAUAGAAAUUGAUUAGACAUCAGCAGAGACUCAAUGCCUCCCGGGCUGCCCCGAGGAGUGACAAGGGCCUGUAUUGAGGCGGCUUGUGAAGAGGACUUGAACGCUGUACCAGCUGCAUAUCCCUGGCUUCCUCCCAAGAGCUCCUGAUGGGAUAUUCUCCAUGAUUUCUAAGACCACCUGGAGUUAUUAGUCCCUUGAGGACCCCCAUAAGAUGCUUUAUUAGCCUUUCCUUUGCUCCCCAGGUGCCUUAACUCAGAUCCUCAUUCAUUGUAAGAUUGGAAAAGCAUGCACGUGCAGGUCUUGUCUUAGGUAGCAAUAAAAUGCUAUUACUAGAUCCCUAAAUGUAAAUGACACAGACAAGCUAUUUCUUAACAUCAAUAAAUCUAAUGUCUGUGUAAUCAGAAACCAGACAUCUGAACUCUACCUUUGGGCUAACUAAAAACCUGUAUCAUUGCAGUCAUUAGAAACCAAUUUUUGUUCCUUGUCUUACGGAAGUGAUAGCUGUUGAGUUUUUAAUUGUUAAAUAAUGAGUUUUUCUUUUUAGUUACAAGCCAUGAGGCAAAUUUAAAAGUUUGUUUCUGAGGAGGUAAGAUUAAAUUUAAAACAACAAAUGAAGCCUUUGCAUCACUAGCAUUCUUUCCCAUGUAUAUUAUCCAACACUGGAGUGUUAAAAAUAUUUUUGAAAGUGAUUUUAUAACAAGUGUGUAUUUCUAAAAAAAAAUCGAUGAGAAGGAAAUUUAUGUAAAAAAUUUUUCAAAUGAAUGUAUAAAAAUUUUCACAUAGGGCACACAAAUAAUUGUCUCAGAGUAUGAUCAUUUUUUAGUAAUAUACACUAACUGUUUCUAACAGUAUUUCUACGUGCAGUUUAAGGUUUUAUGAACAUGAAUACAUUAUAGAACAAAUUAUUGCAUUUAAAAGAAAUAUCAAAAUCUGACUGUUUACUUACUUUUACCAGUUAUUUUUACUCCAUGGAAAUUAUGCUGCUGAAUAUAGUGAAUAAAAAUAGAGGUGAUUACACUGAUUUUAACUUAGUGCUAUUUUCAAAAUAAUAAUACUUCUUAUGGGAUAGAGAGCAUUAAGGGGAAGGCAAAGGGAAGAAAAUCACCUUUGCAU